Molecule: ribosomal RNA, 200 nt
Filed under: uncultured bacterium
Lineage: Bacteria
Description: partial 16S ribosomal RNA
Rfam family: Bacterial small subunit ribosomal RNA
Source: RNAcentral
AGAGUUUGAUCAUGGCUCAGAACGAACGCUGGCGGCAUGCCUAAUACAUGCAAGUCGAACGCACCGCAAGGUGAGUGGCGCACGGGUGAGUAACGCGUGGGAAUCUGCCCAGCAGUGGGGAAUAACCAAGGGAAACUUUGGCUAAUACCGCAUACGCUAACGGGGAAAGAUUUAUUGCUGUUGGAUGAGCCCGCGUCGGA